AGAAGCUUGCUUCUUGGGUGACGAGCGGCGGACGGGUGAGUAACGCGUAGGAAUCUACCUAAUGGUGGGGGAUAGCCCAGGGAAACUUGGAUUAAUACCGCAUAAGUCCUAAGGGAGAAAGCGGGGGAUCUUCGGACCUCGUGCCAUUAGAUGAGCCUGCGUAAGAUUAGCUAGUUGGUGAGGUAAGAGCUCACCAAGGCGACGAUCUUUAGCUGGUCUGAGAGGAUGAUCAGCCACACUGGGACUGAGACACGGCCCAGACUCCUACGGGAGGCAGCAGUGGGGAAUAUUGGACAAUGGGGGCAACCCUGAUCCAGCCAUGCCGCGUGUGUGAAGAAGGCCUUCGGGUUGUAAAGCACUUUCAGAUGUGAGGAAAGGUUGCAGAUUAAUACUCUGUAGCUGUGACGUUAACAUCAGAAGAAGGACCGGCUAACUCCGUGCCAGCAGCCGCGGUAAUACGGAGGGUCCGAGCGUUAAUCGGAAUUACUGGGCGUAAAGCGCGCGUAGGUGGUUUCGUCAGUCAGAUGUGAAAGCCCAGGGCUCAACCUUGGAAUUGCACCUGAUACUGCGGGACUAGAGUACGAUAGAGGGGAGUGGAAUUUCCGGUGUAGCGGUGAAAUGCGUAGAUAUCGGAAGGAACACCAGUGGCGAAGGCGACUCCCUGGAUUGAUACUGACACUGAGGUGCGAAAG
This 692-nucleotide ribosomal RNA is filed under the name uncultured Gammaproteobacteria bacterium. RNAcentral describes it as "bacterial SSU rRNA". It matches the Rfam family "Bacterial small subunit ribosomal RNA", at positions 74 to 759 of the family's 1533-position model. The record is from RNAcentral. Lineage: Bacteria; Pseudomonadati; Pseudomonadota; Gammaproteobacteria.